Molecule: ribosomal RNA, 305 nt
Filed under: uncultured bacterium
Lineage: Bacteria
Description: bacterial SSU rRNA
Rfam family: Bacterial small subunit ribosomal RNA
Source: RNAcentral
GGCGGCCUACGGGGGGCAGCAGUGGGGAAUAUUGGGCAAUGGGCGCAAGCCUGACCCAGCAACGCCGCGUGAAGGAAGAAGGCUUUCGGGUUGUGAACUUCUUUUCUCAGGGACGAAUAGAUGACGGUACCUGAGGAAUAAGCCACGGCUAACUACGUGCCAGCAGCCGCGGUAAUACGUAGGUGGCAAGCGUUAUCCGGAUUUACUGGGUGUAAAGGGCGUGUAGGCGGGGACGCAAGCCAGAUGUGAAAACCGCGGGCUCAACCUGUGGCCUGCAUUUGAAACUGUGUUUCUUGAGUACUGGG